GCCCAGAUGGUGAAAUUGGCAGACACGCUAGUUUCAGGUACUAGAGUCCGAAAGGAUGUGGGGGUUCAAGUCCCCCUCUGGGCA
Molecule: transfer RNA, 84 nt
Filed under: Spirochaetaceae bacterium
Lineage: Bacteria; Pseudomonadati; Spirochaetota; Spirochaetia; Spirochaetales; Spirochaetaceae
Description: tRNA-Leu
Rfam family: tRNA
About the family: Transfer RNA (tRNA) molecules are approximately 80 nucleotides in length. Their secondary structure includes four short double-helical elements and three loops (D, anti-codon, and T loops). Further hydrogen bonds mediate the characteristic L-shaped molecular structure. tRNAs have two regions of fundamental functional importance: the anti-codon, which is responsible for specific mRNA codon recognition, and the 3' end, to which the tRNAs corresponding amino acid is attached (by aminoacyl-tRNA synthetases). tRNAs cope with the degeneracy of the genetic code in two manners: having more than one tRNA (with a specific anti-codon) for a particular amino acid; and 'wobble' base-pairing, i.e. permitting non-standard base-pairing at the 3rd anti-codon position.
Source: RNAcentral